Molecule: long non-coding RNA, 2697 nt
Organism: Phacochoerus africanus (Common warthog)
Lineage: Eukaryota; Metazoa; Chordata; Mammalia; Artiodactyla; Suidae
Exons: 6
Source: RefSeq, a predicted model, not a curated record
CUAGCUGACAGCCAAAGUCACAGAAGGAGGACAAAAAUUCAAGACAGGUCCUCCCUAGAGUUGGCCUCUGGGCUGUUUGAACUCAUACAGAAAGACCAAGUCCGAAGCCACAGAUUUAAAAUAUUUUUUCCAUCUCCGCCUCCUUCUGUGAAAGUUAUCGUGAGUGUAUUUGGCCCAAGGCCUGUUAAACUUUUUCUGGAGGCAGGCAGAUUUUGACAGUCAAGAGCACAGACGUAGGAACAGCAGAAAAAGGAGGAGCUCUCCCAACCCCUGUUGGACAGAGUGAACUCUGCUGGCUGUCUGACAGCAAACCUUUUGGGAAACAGCCAGCCUUGCACCGUGUUGGAGGGCUUCACAGGGGAACGGAUGUGAUGAGAGCAAGGGGGUUGAGCGAAAGGGCUGGCAGGUGCCCACUUCCUGGCUCUACUUACUUCUUGCCACUCCUCUGCCCUCCAAGUGUAGAGCGGACACGGUGGGGCUUGGCAGGCACGUUCCGACUCUGGUCUAGUGUACUGGUCGCACCCGGUCUCUCUGGCUACUUUGUGUGUUCCCAUGUGACAGCCCACAUUUCUCCGCUGGACGCCUUGGCCACAGGACACAGAGCACUAAGAGGACAAGAGAGUCACCAUACUGGAAAACAUCUCAAGGCUCAACAUGGAAGGAAGGAAGCCUUGGAGGGAAAAAUGUGGACAGCAUGACAGCAGGAACCCUGUCUAAUAUUUUGGGUCUCUCAAGAGUGAGGGUAAAAUCUUGAUAAUUGAGGCCAAAAAUGAAGGCCAUGAACCUGGUAUUACUAUGAAAUUCUGAUUUAAAGAAGAUAUACUAUGAAUUAGUAGAAUUUCUUUUGGACAUCUCACUUUGUGCAAUCUCUGAUGAAGGUAUUUCUUCAACAAACUGCCUCGUGAUUCACUCUUUUGGAUAAAGAGGAUAAGCUCUCAUUUUCCCAGCACAUUGGAAAGGAGGUGAAAAAGGCACGUUUUGAAAGUGGUAGAUUUGGAUGCUGGAUGCAUUUGUUUGCCACUGUUCCUGGUGUGCUGUCCCUGGCAUUAGGGAUGCUCUGCAUUGGUCCUUUCACUCAUAUUGAAGGGUUUGGUCUCUGAGUCACAGAGAAACCAGAAAACAAUGUUUGCCUUCAUGAGAAUGGCUUCAGACCUAGAGAGAAUGAGAUCCCAGUAUUGCUGAAGCUGCUGAGAACCUGGACAUCCAGAUGGAUAUGGAGGACCACACAGAAUUGCUCCUACAUGAUAACCACGUCUUAACACGCACCUGCCACAUGGAUGGAAAAUACGUCAGGAGUUGGGAGGACAAGGAGUGAGGAAGGAAGCAAAUGGCUCCGUGAAUAUGGAAGUUUCCCUCAAGAAACUUCUCCUUCAAAGAAGGAGUGAUCUCUUGGAAUUCAAGCUCCUACAAGAUGGCUACCUGGUGUUGUCCAUUUCUGCUUUCUCCUAAAACGCAUCAAUCAAGCCUUGCCCUUUCAACCCACAGAGCACAUAAACAUUCUUUCUCCUUAACUGAACUUACUGCCACGGUGAACUUGAACUCUGAGAUGCACAAGAGGAGAGUCUGUUUUAACAGCUGCUUGGACACAGAGGCCCCGGAGUUACUACUCUCAAGACAGCUGGUUCUGUCUCUCUUUUCACUGUCCUAUUUUUUCAAGGCCCAGCUGUCAGGAUAUACCCACUGAAGUGUUCCCAAACAAAGGCACAAAACAGAAGACAGGCAAGAGAGUGGUACUUAUUGGAGACGAGGGCAUCUGACACGGGGACCCUUUACAUGCUGACAUAGGGUUUUUCUCCCCAGUUUAUUUUUAUAAUUGACCCCGUGGCUAGCUGAAUAUUAAUUGUUAACUGCCUGAGGCUGCCCUGCCCAAUUCUGUUUAAAUGUAGAGUAAAUGAAAUAACAAUUUAAAAUGCAGGAUCCAUGUUGCACUUAGCCACAUAACAAGUGCUAAAUUAUCAGUCACAUGUGGCUAGUGGCUUCCAUAUUGGGAAGCUAAGAUAGAAGAUGUUUCCAUCAUUAUAGAAAGUUAUUGGACUGCUUUGGCCAAGGUAUAAUCUCGUUCUAAUAGGAGAAAGGGAUGCUGAUCUGGCUAAGAAUGAUAGCUUUGUAGGUUUAGCCUAUAUUGAUUGUUUUCCAUCCUACUUUGUGUUCACUCUUUUCUUGGCUGCCAAUUUUCUACUUUUAUAAAUUUCUGCAAAGGGAUGUGACGGUGAUUAAAACAAUCCAUGACAAUGAUCCCACUUUAGAGGAAAAGACAACAACAAGAAGCAAAGACAGUGGUGUGGCAACCCACACAUUCCAGAUCUUUUUAUUAGUAUCUAUGAAAUAACAAAGGGGGAAAUGGACUCUCAGCCACAACUUCCCACACUAGUGUGGAGGCUGAAAGAUACCUGUGGGGAGAGGCAGAAAGUCAGGCCCUCCACAAAUCCUGGCUCUCAGAUCACUGAACUAUGUCUGGGUUCUAAUAUAAAGGUGAAUAGAAACACACUUUUUCUCAGAAGGUUUUUAAAGGUUCCAUAUCAUUAGCCAGGAAGCAUUGUGUCAGUUCUUUAUGUGUUCAGUUCUGUUUGUUUAAUAUCAAAUUUUCUCUGUCUCCACCAGAGUGAAGAGCUCUGACUUGUUCAUCGCUGAAUCCUUAGCAUUCAGAACAGCCUGGUCCCAAAGAAGGCACAUUAAAAGUAUUAGCUGAAAAACGAA